AACUUUUAACAACGGAUCUCUUGGCUCUCGCAUCGAUGAAGAACGCAGCGAAAUGCGAUAAGUAAUGUGAAUUGCAGAAUUCAGUGAAUCAUCGAAUCUUUGAACGCACCUUGCGCCCUUUGGUAUUCCGAAGGGCAUGCCUGUUUGAGUGUCA
RNAcentral lists this ribosomal RNA (154 nucleotides) under Selaginella moellendorffii. RNAcentral's name for it is "rRNA 5_8S_rRNA". It matches the Rfam family "5.8S ribosomal RNA". Rfam says of the family: 5.8S ribosomal RNA (5.8S rRNA) is a component of the large subunit of the eukaryotic ribosome. It is transcribed by RNA polymerase I as part of the 45S precursor that also contains 18S and 28S rRNA. The record is from RNAcentral. RNAcentral also lists the same sequence under 1 other name. Lineage: Eukaryota; Viridiplantae; Streptophyta; Lycopodiopsida; Selaginellales; Selaginellaceae.